Molecule: ribosomal RNA, 255 nt
Filed under: Escherichia coli
Lineage: Bacteria; Pseudomonadati; Pseudomonadota; Gammaproteobacteria; Enterobacterales; Enterobacteriaceae
Description: partial 23S ribosomal RNA
Rfam family: Bacterial large subunit ribosomal RNA
Source: RNAcentral
UUUCGACACACUAUCAUUAACUGAAUCCAUAGGUUAAUGAGGCGAACCGGGGGAACUGAAACAUCUAAGUACCCCGAGGAAAAGAAAUCAACCGAGAUUCCCCCAGUAGCGGCGAGCGAACGGGGAGGAGCCCAGAGCCUGAAUCAGUGUGUGUGUUAGUGGAAGCGUCUGGAAAGGCGCGCGAUACAGGGUGACAGCCCCGUACACAAAAAUGCACAUAUUGUGAGCUCGAUGAGUAGGGCGGGACACGUGGUA